RNAcentral lists this ribosomal RNA (467 nucleotides) under uncultured bacterium. Its description in RNAcentral is "partial 16S ribosomal RNA". It matches the Rfam family "Bacterial small subunit ribosomal RNA", at positions 28 to 506 of the family's 1533-position model. The record is from RNAcentral.
GACGAACGCUGGCGGCGUGCUUAACACAUGCCAGUCGAACGGAAAGGCCCUGCUUUUGUGGGGUGCUCGAGUGGCGAACGGGUGAGUAACACGUGAGUAACCUGCCCUUGACUUUGGGAUAACUUCAGGAAACUGGGGCUAAUACCGGAUAGGAGCUCCUGCUGCAUGGUGGGGGUUGGAAAGUUUCGGCGGUUGGGGAUGGACUCGCGGCUUAUCAGCUUGUUGGUGGGGUAGUGGCUUACCAAGGCUUUGACGGGUAGCCGGCCUGAGAGGGUGACCGGCCACAUUGGGACUGAGAUACGGCCCAGACUCCUACGGGAGGCAGCAGUGGGGAAUAUUGCACAAUGGGCGGAAGCCUGAUGCAGCAACGCCGCGUGCGGGAUGACGGCCUUCGGGUGGUAAACCGCAUUCGCCUGUGACGAAGCGUGAGUGACGGUAAUGGGUAAAGAAGCACCGGCUAACUACGU